Molecule: ribosomal RNA, 669 nt
Filed under: uncultured bacterium
Lineage: Bacteria
Description: bacterial SSU rRNA
Rfam family: Bacterial small subunit ribosomal RNA
Source: RNAcentral
GCAACCUGCCCAAAAGAGGGGGAUAACACUUGGAAACAGGUGCUAAUACCGCAUAACCAUAGUUACCGCAUGGUAACUAUGUAAAAGGUGGCUAUGCUACCGCUUUUGGAUGGGCCCGCGGCGCAUUAGCUAGUUGGUGGGGUAAAGGCUUACCAAGGCAAUGAUGCGUAGCCGAACUGAGAGGUUGAUCGGCCACAUUGGGACUGAGACACGGCCCAAACUCCUACGGGAGGCAGCAGUAGGGAAUCUUCCACAAUGGGCGAAAGCCUGAUGGAGCAACGCCGCGUGGGUGAAGAAGGUCUUCGGAUCGUAAAACCCUGUUGUUAGAGAAGAAAGUGCGUGAGAGUAACUGUUCACGUUUCGUCGGUAUCUAACCAGAAAGCCACGGCUAACUACGUGCCAGCAGCCGCGGUAAUACGUAGGUGGCAAGCGUUAUCCGGAUUUAUUGGGCGUAAAGGGAACGCAGGCGGUCUUUUAAGUCUGAUGUGAAAGCCUUCGGCUUAACCGGAGUAGUGCAUUGGAAACUGGGAGACUUGAGUGCAGAAGAGGAGAGUGGAACUCCAUGUGUAGCGGUGAAAUGCGUAGAUAUAUGGAAGAACACCAGUGGCGAAAGCGGCUCUCUGGUCUGUAACUGACGCUGAGGUUCGAAAGCGUGGGUAGCAAACAGGA